Molecule: ribosomal RNA, 466 nt
Filed under: uncultured bacterium
Lineage: Bacteria
Description: partial 16S ribosomal RNA
Rfam family: Bacterial small subunit ribosomal RNA
Source: RNAcentral
GACGAACGCUGGCGGCGUGCUUAACACAUGCAAGUCGAACGGAAAGGCCCUGCUUUUGUGGGGUGCUCGAGUGGCGAACGGGUGAGUAACACGUGAGUAACCUGCCCUUGACUUUGGGAUAACUUCAGGAAACUGGGGCUAAUACCGGAUAGGAGCUCCUGCUGCAUGGUGGGGGUUGGAAAGUUUCGGCGGUUGGGGAUGGACUCGCGGCUUAUCAGCUUGUUGGUGGGGUAGUGGCUUACCAAGGCUUUGACGGGUAGCCGGCCUGAGAGGGUGACCGGCCACAUUGGGACUGAGAUACGGCCCAGACUCCUACGGGAGGCAGCAGUGGGGAAUAUUGCACAAUGGGCGGAAGCCUGAUGCAGCAACGCCGCGUGCGGGAUGACGGCCCUCGGGUUGUAAACCGCUUUCGCCUGGGACGAAGCGUGAGUGACGGUAAUGGGUAAAGAAGCACCGGCUAACUACG